This 253-nucleotide ribosomal RNA is filed under the name uncultured bacterium. Its description in RNAcentral is "partial 16S ribosomal RNA". It matches the Rfam family "Bacterial small subunit ribosomal RNA", at positions 524 to 776 of the family's 1533-position model. The record is from RNAcentral.
UACAGAGGUGGCAAGCGUUGUUCGGAAUUACUGGGCGUAAAGGGCGCGUAGGUGGCCUUCUUAGUCAGACGUGAAAUCCCUGGGCUUAACCCGGAAAGGUCAGCCGAUACUGCGGGGCUAGAGUGCAGAAGGGGCAACUGGAAUUCUCGGUGUAGCGGUGAAAUGCGUAGAUAUCGAGAGGAACACCUGCGGCGAAGGCGGGUUGCUGGGCUGACACUGACGCUGAGGCGCGAAAGCUAGGGGAGCAAACGGG